This 484-nucleotide ribosomal RNA is filed under the name uncultured bacterium. RNAcentral describes it as "partial 16S ribosomal RNA". It matches the Rfam family "Bacterial small subunit ribosomal RNA", at positions 30 to 507 of the family's 1533-position model. The record is from RNAcentral.
AUUGAACGCUGGCGGAAUGCUUUACACAUGCAAGUCGAGCGGCAGCACGGGGGCAACCCUGGUGGCGAGCGGCGAACGGGUGAGUAAUACAUCGGAACAUGCCCAGUCGUGGGGGAUAACACUUCGAAAGAAGUGCUAAUACCGCAUACGUCCUGAGGGGGAAAGCGGGGGGUCGCAAGACCUCGCGCGAUUGGAGUGGCCGAUGUCAGAUUAGCUAGUUGGUGGGGUAAAGGCCUACCAAGGCAACGAUCUGUAGCUGGUCUGAGAGGAUGAUCAGCCACACUGGGACUGAGACACGGCCCAGACUCCUACGGGAGGCAGCAGUGGGGAAUUUUGGACAAUGGGGGCAACCCUGAUCCAGCCAUUCCGCGUGAGUGAAGAAGGCCUUCGGGUUGUAAAGCUCUUUCGGCAGGAACGAAACGGUGAGCUCUAACAUAGCUUGCUAAUGACGGUACCUGAAGAAGAAGCACCGGCUAACUACGUG